Molecule: long non-coding RNA, 414 nt
Organism: Xiphophorus hellerii (green swordtail)
Lineage: Eukaryota; Metazoa; Chordata; Actinopteri; Cyprinodontiformes; Poeciliidae
Exons: 5
Source: RefSeq, a predicted model, not a curated record
CUUUCGCCAAGGAUGAUGUAUCAGGGGGGACCCAUUUCACCGUGACGCCAGUUUCCAGAGGACCGCCGGUGGAGCAGGACAGGUUCAGGUUCUCCGUUAGUUGGAAGCGUGGAUCCUGACUGCGCCACUCAGAAACAUAAUGCGACUUGCAGCCAGAAGAAACCAGAGUAAUUACACGUUAUAUUAGAGAAGAUGGAGAGCAAUGCGUCUGCAGAGCAAGUUUGUGUGCAAUAAGUGGACGGACAUCAAAGAAAUCAGCAAAACUGCAGAAGUUUAGGACAGCAAAGCCAUCUGAUGAUCCUGAUUUCCCACAGCCAGCAGACUGAAGGUAAUUCUGACCGCCAGUCUCAUUUACUCACUUCCUGGUCCGUCUCUGACGCGAGGUCCAGGUGGAGGAUCCCUCCCACCCUCGCU